This is a long non-coding RNA of Rhincodon typus (whale shark), 1727 nucleotides long. RefSeq lists it as uncharacterized. The record is from RefSeq and is a predicted model, not a curated record. The transcript is spliced from 3 exons. NCBI's taxonomy places the organism in Eukaryota, Metazoa, Chordata, Chondrichthyes, Orectolobiformes, Rhincodontidae.
GCCUGAAACGUCAGCUUUCCUGCUCCUCUGAUGCUGCUUGGCCUGCUGUGUUCAUCCAGCUCUACAUCUUGUUAUCUCACCUCCUCACCCGAUCACCAACUUACAUCCAGUCAUUAAGUUACUUACUGAAAGAUAGACAGCUGUAAUAAUCUGACUUGAAAACAGCAGCUGCUAUGGUGAUAGAGGGGUGUGUCUGCCUUUCCUUGAGUUUUUUGACCUCUCUCUGGACAUCUGUGCUGACUCAUUGAUGUUUCAGAAGCUCCUGCUGAAAAAAAUCACAAAAUUUCCUAUUUACAGGAAGCUGCACAGGAGGCAUUGCUGAAGACUAUGAAGAUUUAGGCCAUUGUUCAAAAUGUCAAAAUUUCAGACCGUGCCUCCAGCAGAGCAGCUCUCAAUUUUGCUCUGGCAGACUAGACUUUUCAGGAGCUUGAAAUGUGUUUGAAAACUACAGGUUUCUGAUAGAGAACACACGGACUACAGCAAUUCAAGAAGGCAGCUCACCACCACCUUCUUAAGGGCAACAAGAGACAGAAAAUAAAUGCUGACCACCAGCGAUGACCCCAUUCCAUGAAUUUACAGCAUCUGCAGUUUUUUUUUCAAAAAUACUUCACUGGCUGUAAAAGAGACAACCGAUGGAAGGCGUUAUAUUCACAGGUACAGCACCUCAUAUUUCGCUUGAGAACCCUGCAGCCCAAUGGUCUCAAUGUGGACUUCACAAGCUUCAAGAUCUCCCCACCCCUUACCGCAUCCCAAAACCAGCCCACCUUGUCCCCGCCUCCUUGACCUGUCCAUCUUUUCUCCCAACUAUCCACUCCUCCCACCUCACUGACCAACCCCCACCCCCACCUCCUACCUACCAGCCUCAUCCCCGCCUCCUUGGCCUGUCCGUCUUUUCUCCCACCUAUCUGCUCCUCCCACCUCACUGACCAACCCCCAUCUCCUCCUCCUACCUACCAGCCUCAUCCCCGCUUCCUUGACCUGUCCGUCUUCCCUCGACUGACCAACCCCCACCAUAACUCCCUGCCUACACUCACCUUUACUGGCUCCAUCCCCGCCUCCUUGACCUGUCCAUCUCCUCUCCACCUAUCUGCUCUUUUAUCCACCUUCCAUCUGCCUCUCCCUCUCUCUCUAUUUAUUUCAGAAUCCCCUUCCCCUCCCCCAUUUCUGAAGAAGGGUCCAGACCUGAAACGUCAGCUUUCCUGCUCCUCUGAUGCUGUUUGGCCUGUUGUGUUCAUCCAGCUCUACACCUUGUUAUCUCAGAUUCUCCAGCAUCUGCAGUUCCUGCUAUCUCUCUCCAUCUCAUAUUCACGCAUGUUUCUUUUCAUUGUGCAGUUUCUACAUCUUCUUUCCAUUUUAGAGGCACUGAAAGUAUUUCUUGGACAGCAGGUUAAAGAUCACUGGCAUGCAGAACUAUGAUUAAAUUACCUAAAAUCUUUAUAAUCCCAAAAAUCUCACAAAUGAUAUCCUAAACCAUUAAUAAUAUGGUAGUUUUUGUGGUCCAGGAUGCCUAAUAAUCCUGGUAGAGCCUUCUUCCUCAAUGAACAGCUUCACACUCUUCUAAACUAUUAUUUUCGGUCAUUUCAACUUCCUUAAAGCAUUAAAUUUGAAUAAUAUUCAGAUUGUUUUACCAAUUUUAUGAGCUCGACAUGUUGAAUCACAGGUACCUCAAGUCAUUCAUUAUACUUUAAAAUAAAAACAUCCAAUUAGUAGUGGACGGUAAACUCGGA